Molecule: small nuclear RNA, 104 nt
Organism: Nycticebus coucang (slow loris)
Lineage: Eukaryota; Metazoa; Chordata; Mammalia; Primates; Lorisidae
Source: RefSeq, a predicted model, not a curated record
UAAAACUGCAAAAAAAUAAUAAUAAAAUUGGAACAAUACAGAGAAGAUCUGCAUGGCCCCUGCACAAGGAUGAUACGCAAAGGCGUGAAGCGUUCCAUAUUUAA